AAGAAGAGCAAGAAGAGGACGACUGACCGGCUGUGUGGCGAGAGGAAGCUGAAAUUCAUCGUUUUUUGGCGUGUAUAGGCCUGUGCAAGCCUUACCAAGACCCAUAUAAAGGACGCGUUGAGGAGCCGCCACUACCACCUGUGCGGAGUGUGAACACCCUCACCUGCCGUCCUCUCCACUCAAUAUUGGAGCAUCGGACAGAGGUCAUGAUACCUGGAAGAGGCUCCGUAGAGGAGUAAGACCUUACUUACACUGUAGAGUGAGCUGCUGCUCCCUCACUAUGGAGAGGGGUAGACCUUACACCGAGCAAGCUAUGGUAAGUAAUUAUACAAAUUAUUACUGUAGUAGUAAUAAUAGACCACUAUGGGAUCCACGAUACCUCAAAGAGGCUCCGGAGAGUAAGAACAACCAAAGCUGUGUAAUUUUUUU
Long non-coding RNA from Portunus trituberculatus (swimming crab), 429 nucleotides. RefSeq lists it as uncharacterized. Lineage: Eukaryota; Metazoa; Arthropoda; Malacostraca; Decapoda; Portunidae. The record is from RefSeq and is a predicted model, not a curated record. The transcript is spliced from 3 exons.